AACACCUAAAGAUUUAAAUUGUAAAGACAAAGAAUCAAAUAAUUAAUGUUAAUAACAACAACAUCAAACAUGAAUCAAUGGUGAUGCAGGAAAAUCGGUAAAUUGUUGAUCUAAUCUGAUACAUCUAAAGGAAGCGGAAGACAGUGGACAUCUUUAUAUUAUAUAGAUAAUCAAAUCCAUCAUCAUCAUCAUCAUCGAGAGAGAGAAGGGAUCAAAUGAUGGAGAUAAAUUAAUGAGCAAUUGAUUCAAAAGACGGAAAAGUAAAGAAAAGAAACAUGGAAAAGAGAAAGAUACAAGACAAAAGGAAUAUGGUUGAAAAGAAAAGGAAUGGUCAAAGAUUCCGAGUAGAGAGAAUUAUUAUUUUAACAACUAUCAAGUGACCAAAUGAUAACAAUCAAGAGAAAACAAUAAACUACAAAUUCUCUCUCUUCUUAUGAUAGAAUUACAUGAGAAAAGGAAGAGGAAAAAACUCGUAAUUGACGGUGGGUGAAGAAAAGGUCAGAAAUCUCAGUGACAAGCCCAAAGAAAUAUGGAUCAAGAUGAAUUAUUACACAUCCAUGGAUGAGAAAAUAAAGGGGAAAUACAAAUAUCAAACCAGAGACAAGUUUAAGUUGCACGGAGGGAAAACAAAGAUUAAGCUCCUCUCAUAAUGAUGAUGAUGAUGAUGAUGGUGAUAAUAAUAAUGAUAACUGUCUCAAUCUAAACCUGUAACCAAUGCAAUUAGUUUAAUCAUCUUUCCACCAAAACUUUCAAUUGUUCACACACCAGAUAAACAAGAGAAAACCGCAAUCAUCAUCAACCUUAUUAUCAACUCAUCAAUAUUGAGGAUAAUAUUUACAUUGAGCUAAUAUGAAUAUCGACAAACCCAAAGUUUUCACCAUAUUAACCUGAGGACAAUUUCCAAUCAUUAAUCAUAAACAAUCGUAUCAUCAAAGGAAACCCUUAAUUGAAAGAUUGAUAUUCCCAUUGGAGACAAUGAAUUGGUUCAAAGGUUGAACAAAAGAGGAACCAUCUCAACGUUAUCAUAAUAGACAAGAUAAACAGCUGAGUAAAUUGAGAAAACUAUUUUAUCAUCAGUUGUUUACUUCAAGUAAAUCAAUGAUUUUCUCAUCUUGGCUUCAUCAUAUUUUCAUCAUUAUCAUCAUUGUUUACUACUGUUUUCACUUUGAUUCAUCACUGGUGAUGAGGCUCAUUGAUAAUAUCCUUACAUUGGUUAUAAAAGAUUCACUUUUCUCAAGAGGAUUCCCGAUUUUCAUCAACUAACCAUCAUCAUUAUUAUCAGAAUCAGAUAAAGAACAAUUUACUAUUCAAUGAAAUUUCGGAAAAAAAACUAAAAGUUUUAAUCGAACGAUAAUUUUAAUCAUAAUUACCUAGAACAAUGGCCAGU
Long non-coding RNA from Panonychus citri (citrus red mite), 1387 nucleotides. RefSeq lists it as uncharacterized. The transcript is spliced from 3 exons. The record is from RefSeq and is a predicted model, not a curated record. NCBI's taxonomy places the organism in Eukaryota, Metazoa, Arthropoda, Arachnida, Trombidiformes, Tetranychidae.